UGGAUCCAGACUUUGAUCCUGGCUCAGGAUGAACGCUAGCGGCAGGCUUAACACAUGCAAGUCGAGGGGCAGCAUAAUGGAUAGCAAUAUCUAUGGUGGCGACCGGCGCACGGGUGCGUAACGCGUAUGCAACCUACCUUUAACAGGGGGAUAACACUGAGAAAUUGGUACUAAUACCCCAUAAUAUCAUAGAAGGCAUCUUUUAUGGUUGAAAAUUCCGAUGGUUAGAGAUGGGCAUGCGUUGUAUUAGCUAGUUGGUGGGGUAACGGCUCACCAAGGCGACGAUACAUAGGGGGACUGAGAGGUUAACCCCCCACACUGGUACUGAGACACGGACCAGACUCCUACGGGAGGCAGCAGUGAGGAAUAUUGGUCAAUGGACGCAAGUCUGAACCAGCCAUGCCGCGUGCAGGAUGACGGCUCUAUGAGUUGUAAACUGCUUUUGUACGAGGGUAAACGCAGAUACGUGUAUCUGUCUGAAAGUAUCGUACGAAUAAGGAUCGGCUAACUCCGUGCCAGCAGCCGCGGUAAUACGGAGGAUUCAAGCGUUAUCCGGAUUUAUUGGGUUUAAAGGGUGCGUAGGCGGUUUGAUAAGUUAGAGGUGAAAUUUCGGGGCUCAACCCUGAACGUGCCUCUAAUACUGUUGGGCUAGAGAGUAGUUGCGGUAGGCGGAAUGUAUGGUGUAGCGGUGAAAUGCUUAGAGAUCAUACAGAACACCGAUUGCGAAGGCAGCUUACCAAACUAUAUCUGACGUUGAGGCACGAAAGCGUGGGGAGCAAACAGGAUUAGAUACCCUGGUAGUCCACGCAGUAAACGAUGAUAACUCGUUGUCGGCGAUACACAGCCGGUGACUAAGCGAAAGCGAUAAGUUAUCCACCUGGGGAGUACGUUCGCAAGAAUGCAACUCAAAUGAAUUGACGGAAU
RNAcentral lists this ribosomal RNA (924 nucleotides) under uncultured organism. RNAcentral's name for it is "bacterial SSU rRNA". It matches the Rfam family "Bacterial small subunit ribosomal RNA", at positions 1 to 919 of the family's 1533-position model. The record is from RNAcentral.